UAGGGGUUAAAAAAGAGAGUAGAACUUUACAAAUAGAGAAGAAAUAAAAUGUUGAAAUAUAUAUACAUCACUGAACAAUUAUAUGAAGGUCUAUAAUUAAGAUAUGCAUGCACGUACAAAAGGCACAAGCCGUACAUACAAAAUGAAUAAUUAACAGCAUGUUUUUACAUCGAUUCAGUAGUUUUUAGAAGCAAUAUAUAUUUCGUUCUCCAACCAAUUAAGAUACAUAUUGUUCAAGUUGUUUGGAAGACAAUUUUGUUUGGCAUACACUUGAGGACAUGGUGUUUUUACUCCUGCGCUCUUCUUACUAAUUAAACAUGUUUUAGUUAAAAAAUGGAGAAGAAACUCACGGGUUUGAGGAGUAGUCUCAGCUAGCUCACGAGCUGAGAUUUCAGAGGAGAGAAGGAGAACAGCAAAGACAAGGCCAAGAAGAAGUAAAGUCCCUGAGGAUGCCAUAAUUUUCCGAACAAUAUUAAUACCAAGGAAGCAUAGUAAUGGUUUCUGAAGGUUGUAUGUAAGAGAGGAUUGCUGUGUAGUAUAAUGUGGUUUGGCUCUCCCUAUUUAUAGACCUUUGUAAGAGAGUGGGAAGUGGGGGACGGUGGCCGGAAUGAGAUUGAGAGAAGAUUUUUUAUUAACUUUUACCUAAUCAGAAGAUAAGUAUGAUUAAAGGCUAAAGAGCUAAAACAUUAUAUAAUUAUCAUUUUGGACUUUAACAAGCGACUUUGGUUGUCCCCGAAUCUUCGAAAUUACUCACAGAUAGAAAGAUAUGAAAAUGAGAAUUUGGGUAUAUAUGGGGACGGAUGCGAGGAAACCGAAAUUUUCUAAUGCGGUUAUAUGAAAAUGAGAAGUUGGGUAUGUAUGGGGACGGAUGCGAGGAAACCGUAAUUGUCCCCAAUCCAGCUCACUCUAUAUUUUUUAGUACUAUAUGCCUGUUUUCGGAAGUCAAAGUUUUGUAUUUGACUGUAUUAUGGUUUGAUUCGUGAUUUGGUUGUAUUUUUUUUUUCAUGAUUAUAGCCUUUUAUGCUGCUUCCAUUAUAUGAUCAAAACCUUGUUUUUCCAUUAAUUAUGAAUUAUUGGUGAAAUCGUUAACCAUACUCAAUGUAUUUGUAAUUAUGAGGGCACAACCGAUGAUUAAUUUUGUGAUUAUAAUAUGAAUAAUAUUCACAAUUAUGUGAAUGAAUAUAAGUCCACGAUACACUUGUCUCCAAUCUGAGUUAUGAAGUAAAAUUUUAAAAAGACUUGUUCUUAAGUAUUUCGUUUGUGAAUCUAGAGUAUUCAUAUUUAUAAAAGAGCUUCGAUGAAAAGGGCUCACAAAACAAAAUUUUAAUCAAUUACACUCGAUCAAUUUUUUAAUUACAAUGACAAAAACAAGGGACCAAUGACACUAUCAUAAUUAUAUUGAAUUUGGGUGCAAUGAUGGUAUCGUAAUUCAGUUGAACUUUGAUUCAUAAAUUAUCCAAAACUGUUUCCUCAUAAAUUACCCACAAUUGUAUCUUCAUAAAUUACCAGCAACUAUUUCUUCAUCAAUUACCAGCAUUUUCUCAAACCUAAACAAAUUCUAUUAUAUGCUUUAAAAAAUAUUAAAAAGUGAGUCUCAUAAAAAUGUACGUAAAAAAUGUGUGUUUUUAAAUCCUAACUCUUUAAAGAGUUCUACUUUUUUCGAUUGCCCCACGUAGAAGCUACUUUGUAAUUAAAAGAUUAUUGAAGGUAAGUGAGGAAAUAGUUGCAUGAACCAAAUUUCAACUUAUAAUCAUGACUUUCAAUGAAGCCAAAUUCAAUAUUGACGGUAUGUGUUUUUGAUGACCAAGGCUUAUGGCGUUAGGAUAAAGUUGGUUUGGAGGAAAUAGUAGUGAGCUACUUUGAAAAAUUGUUUUGACUCCGAGGGUUCAUCAAAUGGAGAGGAAAUUCUAUAGUAUGUUCAACCAAGGGUUACCGAGAGUAUGAAUGAGGACCUUACGAAACCGUUUGAGGAUGAAGAGAUAAAAUUUGCUCUUUUUCAGAUGCAUUCAACUAAGGCUCUAGGACCAGAUGGAAUGUCUCCGGGUUUUUACCAAAAACAUUGGGAUAUUGUUGGCAAUGAUGUAUGCAACGGCGUUCGGGCUCUUCUCUCAUCGGGAAGAAUGUUGAAAAAGAUCAAUUACACUAAUGUUACUCUUAUUCUGAAGAAUAAAGAUCCGAUAGUGAUGACACAAUUACAUCCGAUUAGUUUAUGCAAUGUCAUUUAUAAAAUUUGCUCCAAAGUGUUAACCAAUAGAUUCAAAAGGGUGCUUCCAGAGAUUAUUUCUACUAAUCAGAGUGCUUUUGUGCCGGGGAGAUUGAUUUCAGAUAAUAGCUUGGUAGCUUCGGAAAUUGCUUAUUAUAUGCAUAAGAAGUCUUCUGGAUGGGAUGGAGUGAUGGCAUUGAAACUGGAUAUUAGUAAGGUGUAUGACCGUAUUGAAUUGAGUUUCCUCAAACAAAUGAUGAAAAAGUUGGGCUUUGCGGAUAGGUGGAUUAAUUUGAUGAUGGCGUGUGUGACUACCGUUUCAUACUCGUUUAAGGUAAAUGGCAAGCUGGUGGGUUAUGUUCACCUGAAGCGGGGGAUUCGACAAGGUGACCCUCUUUCUCCGUUUCUAUUUGUGUUAUGUGCGGAAGGUCUUUUAACUCUUUUUUAUGCUUGGAAGAAACAGGGACGGAUUAGAGGGGUCAAAGUGUGUAAGGGCGUUCCGACUGUGAAUCAUCUUUUUGUUUGCGGAUGACAGCUUCAUUUUCACCAGGGGCACGAUUCAGGAAUGCCUACAGGUGAAACAUUUGUUGAAAACAUAUGAAUAUGUAUCAAGACAAGCUAUUAAUUAUGCGAAGAGUUGUGUAGCUUUCAGUGGAAACUUGUCUAAGUAUGAUGGAUAGUUGUUGGUGGAUUGUUUGGGUAUGCCGCGGGUAAUUUUCCAUGAUCGAUAUCUUGGCCUACCGGUUCUGGUGGGAAAAUCGAAGAAGGAUACGUUCGCAUACAUUAAAGAUUGAUUGUGGAAAAAAUUAAAUGGUUGGAAAGUAAGUCUUCUGAGUAGUGCUUGGAAAAAGAUAUUGAUAAAAACCGUAGCCCAAGUUGUACCCCUAUACACUAUGCAAACUUUCUUGCUACCAAAAACUUUCUACAAUGAGUUGAAUCAAAUGGUGGCACAAUUUUGGUGGGGAAAGGAACAAGGGAAGCGAAGGAUAUAUUGGAUUCGGUGGAAAAAGUUAUGUAAACCAAAGGGAGAGGGUGGUCUUGGCUUUAAGGAUAUCUAUGCCUUUAAUCUAGCUUUGUUGGCAAAGCAAGGGUGGCGGUUGAUACAAGAAUAAUCCUUUCUAGCAUCCCAAAUUUUUGAAGCCAAAUAUUAUACACAAACUGAUUUUCUUUCGACACUGAUGAAGAAAAAUUCAUCUUAUGGUUGGAGAAGUAUAGCUGAGGCCCGCAAAGUAAUUAGGGUUGGAGCUCGGUGGAGAGUGGGGGAUGGUGCUUCUAUUAAAAUUUGGGGUGAUAGUUGGUUGCCAAGGGAAACUUUUUUCAAAGUUCUUAGCCCUAUACCUAUGGGAAUGGAUCAGUCCAUUACUGUAGAGAAGUUGAUCUCGGUGGAGAGAGGGAUUGCAUGGAACAUGGAAGUCGUAAAUAGCAUUUUUUUGGCUGAGGAAGCUCGAUUGAUUCGGUCCAUACCACUUAGUAUCUCUCUGACAUUGGAUGUUUUAAUCUGGUCCGCGAAGUCAAAUGGGAAGUUUACAACGAAAAGUGCCUAGAUUGGCAGAGAAGUCAAUGGACAAGAAAGCAGUGGUUCUUCGAUUACACACGAGAUGAAAUUUUUGUGGAAGGCUUUGUGGAGAGCUCGAGUACCUGAGAAAGUAAAGUUUUGUGUGUGGCGAUGUUGUAUGAAUGCAUUACCAACAUGGGAUAAUGUGAAAAUAAAGAAAAUCACUACGGAUGCUGCUUAUAUGUUCUGUAAUGGCGAAGAAAAAACCUUGGUGCAUUUGAUGAGGAAUUGUCCUAGAACGGCUUUGAUUUGGUUAAUAAGCCCGUUGGGUCUACGGAGUAGAACAGACACUAGGGGACAUUUGGUGGUUGGUUCACAAGACUGGCUAGUGAUUUAUCAAGUGAAAGCUUUGAUUUGUUACUUGUGAUUAUUUGGAGCAUUUGGAAGGAACGAAACUCGUUUUUAUGGCAGGGAAAGGCACUUCAACCGUUGGAGUUGGUUUCUAGAGCACAAAGUUGGUUACAGGAAUUCCAGUGAUGGCAUGGGUAAGAAUCAAACAAGCAGCAGCAACAAACCAAAGAAAUGGAAGAAACUGGAAUUGGGCUGGGUAAAAUGUAACUUUGAUGCGGCCUAGGAUGAACAACAUGAGGUUGGUGGUGUUGGGGUGGUGAUUCGAAAUGACAAGGGGGAGUUUAUAGCAGCAAAGGUGACACAACACACUGCCAUUUGUUCCCCGCAGCUGGCUGAGAUGAUGGCUGCAAGGGAUGCGGCUUUGUUUGUCAAGGAGUGGCAAUUUCCAGCUUUGGUUGUUGAAGGUGAUGCUUUGUUGGUGAUGGCAAGACUAAAAAAAUGUAGGAAGUGAUGACACCUCACAUUUUGGAAACAUUCUAAAUGACACGCGGUCAAUUGUUCAUUCAUUGCCAAAGUGGAAGGUUGAAUUUAGUGGAAGGGACACGAAUAAGGUGGCACAUAGGCUAGCACGUAUGAGUUUGAGUUAUGGUAACAUUAUGACUUGGUUUGAAGAACCUCCUGAUAUAAUUUUUUAUCUUCUCUUUGAGGAUAGUAAUUCCUAAUUAAUUAUGAUGGUGCGGGACACUUUUGUCCCUUCGACCGGGUUGAAAACCUUCGACCGGGUUGACACUUUUGUCCCUUCAAUGAUGUAAGUAUCCAUUUCUUAUUAAUGAAUAUCAUACUUUUUCAAAAAAAAAAAAUGGAAUACGCUACUCCUUGUGCAGAAAUUCUAGAGUAUGAAGACCGGGUCACAUGUUUCUUAGGGCCCACACACAUAAUACAACUUAUAGCCACCCCGUUACUUUAAGUAGUGUUAUAGGGAUGGGCAACGGUUAUGGUGAGCGAGUAACCGCGGUUAUUUACCCAUAACCGUUUAUAUUCAUACUCACAUAACCGUUUACCAGUUGGGUAAUUGCAUAAAUGGUUAUACCUAUACCCAUAAUCGUUUAUAAAUGGUUAACCAUACCCAUAACUGUGUACUCAUUUAACCAUAACCGUUUACCCAUUUAACAAUAACCAUUUACCCGUUUACCCAUUUUUGAACCCAUUUAUCCUUUUUUUUACCCAUUUACCCCUUUUUUCACCGGUCUGCAUGUUUUUUUAAUAACUUGAAAAUUAAAAAAGAACAAUUUGUCAUAAUUUUUGUUUUUUAACAAUUAAACACCGUUAUAAGUACAUUUUAGCAUGCAUUUCCCUAUUUUAAUAAUUUAAGUCCUCAUAUAAUUCCAAUAAUUGAAAUAAUAGUUUACAAAACUAAAUGAUUCAAAGCUUAUAAAUAUUAUGAAACUAAACACUUUCAAACACUAAUGUUUUCAGAAGAGGUUAAUUAAUUAUGUGGCUUUGUGCUUAGGUGUAAUGUGUCCCUUAAUUUACGUGACUUUAUGGAGCAACUGCAUCAGAAGUAUGUAUACUGAUACAUGGGAUCUGCUUGCACAACGUGGUCACAUCAUGGGUACAUAAUCUUCUUGCUGUGAUUUUGUUACCGGGCAAACUUUAUGCUGUAAUUUAAAAAUAUUUGAAUCGAGUGAGUGUUCACACUCAAAAGUAUUCAUCCUCUAUUAAAUUAAAUGGAGGGAGAGAUGAGCAGGGAUAGAGCGUUUGAGACUUUAAAUCUGGGGGACAGAUUGAAAAUUUAAGGUUUUUAAUUUUUAAUUUUUUUAAUUUUAAAUAUAUUAAAUUAAGGUUUUUUAUGUCCGUUGAUCUUCUUCAAUUCAUCCGAUCCGACGGCUGAAAAUUAAAAACGUGUGUGAAGUAAAAUAGGGUGUGUGGAUAUCACACCCCUAAAUUAAAUGGGUAAAUAGAUACUCAUUAUAACCGCAGGUAAUACCCAUAAUCGAUGGAUACCCAUUAUAACCACAGGUACUACCCAUAACUGCCCAUUUAAAUUUCACGGAUAAACGAUUAUACCCAUAACCGUUUGUUCGUCUAAACGGUUACCCAUAACCGUAACCCUAAACUUUAAAUGGAUGAGUAACCACAAUUACCCAAACUCAUGGUUAUUUUGCCCAUCCUUAAGUACCACCUCGUGUUCCGGUUACACUGAAAAAUUUCUCUAAUUUUGGUUUAAAAAUGUGGUCUCCCUAACAUUAUCCUAAUGAAUAUACUGAUAUUCGUAAGCCCCUUAUUUUUAGGUCAUUUGAAAUUACACAUAGAUUAGGCAAGCCUCAAUGCUGCAAAAAUAAGAAAUGCAGAAAUAUAAAGCUAAGCCCUUAGAACAUUUCCAACCCUUGGGUUAAAAUCUUAAAUUUUAAACUCAAAAAUUUAAAUUUUAAGUCAGAAAGAGCUUUUCUUCUCGGAUCCAUCUGGGUUAAAAUUUUAGCCUAAAAUUAUUAAAUAAUGAGUUUAGGCUAAAUUUGUGACAACCCGUCCCUAAUUUCACGAUUUUAUAAAUUUUAAAAGAGUGAUUUUACGAAAAUGCCCUUACAGUCGAGGAUGUUUGACUUUCGUUGGCCGUCUUUCAUGACGUGUACAAGUUACUCUUUUUGUGAAUUCUCAAGGUACUCAACGAUAUGAACGCGUGAGUGCAAAUGGAACACAAUUUGGGAUUAUAAUGACUGAAGUCGAGGACAAAAUUGUCAAUUGAUUAUUUUCUGGAAGGCUCCAGAUUUUUGGACCAAAGAAUUGUUAUGACACGUGUGUGGCUGAGUUGGAAAAGAAAUGAGAGUUAAGGAGGGUGCAGACCAAUCAACAGAAUGAGGUGAGGAGAUGACCAAUGGGAGCUGAGAGAAAAGAGAGAAAGAAGGAGAGUGAGGCCCAAUCAGAAAAGAAAAGAGAGAGAGAGUGACAACUAGAGAGGGAAGAAGGGAGGGAAAAGAGAGGAACCUAAUCCUUUCCCUUUGACCCGUGACCCGUUUCAAACCCGGUACCCUACGUGAGAUUCCGCUAUUUCCUCCUACGAUUUUGUGACAAAUUUCACCAAGCCACCACUUAGAAACUUCUCACCGGCUGUUCUUCUUCAAUUUUCCACUACAAUUCAAUGGGAUUUGGCCCCGUUUCAUGGUGUACAGCGACAGCAACCCCGUGAGUCCCUAAGCAGCGAUCCGCCAUUUUUGAAUGUUAUCUCAUUGAUCUCCACCAUCAUUAGACUUUUCUUGAGGCCUGGAACAAAGCCCAAACAAUUGUAGCGGCGGUGGAGCACCGGAGGUGACGGAUCGAAGCCACCCAUUUUUAGGAUUUCCAGCGAGUUCGAGUGAAAUUGGGGAUUUUGCCGACCAAAUUGGAUUUGGCCACUGGUAUAAAACUUGAUUUACUCAUUGAGAUCUUCAUUUUUGUGAAAUUUGGUAAUUUUUGGAAAUAAUUGAUUUUUUCGACGAGUCAGGACGGUAGGCCGCCGCAUGUGACGGCAAGUGGGUCGAGACCCCACCAGACCAUUGUAGGAUAAUUUAAUGCCCCGGUUCCAUAAUUGACAUCCGUAUAGUGAAAUCCUGAUGUUUUAAUAUAGUUUCGUAGUGGACCGCAUAGUUGGCCGCCAUUUGAUUAUUUUAUGAAUGGACGAUCCGACCGUUGGAUCGGUGCCAAACUUUAAUAAGUGAUAGUACAUAAUAUUUGUGGACAUUAGAAACUUACAGAUCGGAAAUCCAACGUACAGAUCUUCCCGAAUUGAAUUUCUAAAGUUUGUAAAAUCCAACGUUGAACGCCACUUGAAUUUGCGAUUGGUGGAGAUCCAAUUGUUGGAUCGUAAAGAAGUUUUAAUAUGUUGUUCUAGAAGCAUAGUGUGGACUUUGGGAAGUUACGGAUCGGAAAUCCAUGGGCGGAUGUUCCAGAUUGACUUGUGUAGGGUUGUGGACCUCACCUUUGAUAGAGACUUGACUUUUGGACAAUCUGCUACGAAUUGAUCUUAAAUAUUAAAAUCCGUAUUAAUAGAGACUAGGUAGGGCUUAGUGGGCCUAUAUUGAUUAGUGAGUUAUCCUAGAUAAUAUAUACAUUGGUUGACUUUUAGGUUUAACCGUUGACUUUUUGUAAAAUUUGACGGGGACCCUCCUUAGCGUAUUUCAAUGCGUUGAUUCCGAAUCCGCGGUCCAUUUUUUGAAAUUUGAUCGUUGUAAUUUCAUUAGCACAUUAUAUUUACCUAAAUGGUUUCAUUUCUAGGCGAAAUGCAUUACAAGGACUCUCGAUGCUACGAGGUGGGUUCGACUCGACGACAUGAUAUGUGAAUGGGUCUUCUCUUUAUAAAUAUAAUGUUUAUAAGAAAUACCUUAUUGUUGGGAAAUGAUGAAAUAAUCCUACAGGAUGCAUAGGUAAGCUUACUAUAAGGAGAUGCCUUGAUUAUAUUUAUGGUCAUGAAUAGUACGAUAUUGAUUAGAAUUGUUGAAUAGUUGUGGCAUGACUAAAUUGAUGUUAUCUGCUCAUCAUUUACUGCACUGGUGUUGGUACUCGCCCGGGCCAAGGCCAGUCUUUCACGUGUAUGUGUACAUCGCACCGUACGCUCAGUUUGGAUCCAUUGUAGGUGCCAGUCCUGUCGUAGUUGCCAUGGGCAACUCCGACUUGUAUGUGUUGCGCAUAGCGCCAGUCUUCACGUGAUUGUAGUACUACAACGUAUAUUAUUAUCACACCCAGUCCUGUUCAUUUCAGAAUACCUCUGCAUGAACUCAUGUGUCAACAUUUGUCGAUGAGCACCCGAUAUGAUAUGUUGCUUAUGUGAGAUUUUGUGAUUAUGGAUGUCAUGCCCUUAUUCGAGAUAUUGUGCCAUAAUGAAUUCUUGAGAUUUUGCAGGCGACGGCAAGUAUUUUCUUACUAUACGUAGUGCGUAUAUUUUGGAAACUAAAUUGGUUUUAUAGCGAGGGGUUAUUAUGCUUUCGAAAAGGAUUUUUUACAAAGAUUUGUUUCUAGGCCCACUCACCCUUGUUUUUCGCCUACCCAGGUUUUAUUGCCGAGCUUACAUGUCGAUGAAGAUUCUUGGCAAAUCUUGGUGUAGACGAUUACCUUCGAUGGUAUAAUUCUCACCCUAUCUUAUUGUACUGUACUUAUGCUCUAACAUCAUGUGUGAAAUGAGUUCAUUCCCGCUCACCGCGCACUCUAUUACUUAGGCACUUUUAAGUUUAAGUUUAUACACAUUUUUCAUAUCACUACACUUUAUGGCUUCGCUCACCGUGGUCAUGUCCAUGCUCAUGGCCCUGAACUUGGUCGCCAGCCUUUUCUACGCUGUCCUCUAGGGGUAAAAAAAGAGAGAAGAACUUUACAAAUAGAGAAGAAAUAAAAUGUUGAAAUAUAUAUACAUCACUUAACAACUAUAUGAAGGUCUAAAAUUAAGAUCUGCAUGCACGUACAAAAGCCACAAGCUGUACAUACAAAAUGAAUAAUUAACAGCAUGUUUUUACAUCGAUUCAGAAGUUCUUAGAAGCAAUAUAUAUUUCGUUGUCCAACCAAUUAAGAUAUAUUGUUCAAGUUGCUUCGAAGACAAUUUUGUUUGGCAUACACUUGAGGACAUGAUGUUUUUUACUCCUUCGCUCUACGUACUAAUUAAACAUGUUUUAGUUAAAAAAAAUGGAGAAGAAACUCACGGGUUUGAGGAGUAGUCUCAGCUAGCUCACGAGCUGAGAUUUCAGAGGAGAGAAGUAGAACAGCAAAGACUAGGCCAAGAAGAAGAAAAGUCCUUGAGGAUGCCAUAAUUUUCCGAACAAUAUUAAUA
Molecule: long non-coding RNA, 9837 nt
Filed under: Malus domestica (apple)
Lineage: Eukaryota; Viridiplantae; Streptophyta; Magnoliopsida; Rosales; Rosaceae
Description: long non-coding RNA (MDOM_LNC003265)
Source: RNAcentral